UUUCCAUCAGAUUCAGAAUCCUUACCUUAACCCUGUUGUGCGCAAUCGCAGUACCCGCUGGUAGCACAUGGGUAGCAACAAAUGUUAGACUGCAUAGAUUGUCCAAGUGCUGUUCACUGCAGUCUGACUUUUUUCGUGUUAUUACACACAGAAAUUCAAAACCAUGCAUUUUAAAGCGGAACACUACUCAGAUUAUUUUCGUGUUAGGUUAGGGUUAGCUCACUCUAACUCUUGAUUUACCCUAACCACAACUCUCAGUUAAAGUUACUCAGGCAGAAGGACAAAACGAUGACGCGUUUGAGGAUGAUCAUGACAGACAGGAAAAGCAGAGACGGAAGAAGCCGCAGGUAAAGGUAGACGAGCUGCUGCGCCCCAAACCUUUCUGCUUCGAAAACGUUGAGAGAAUUGACGAGCGGAAGAAUAUUUUGCCGUGUAAAAAGAUUUUAAAAGAAGAAAGAAAUGAAAAAACAGGAGGAGGAAAAGACAGCCAACAGGCCAGACAACACAGCCUUUACCCAGCAACGUCUUCCGGCCUGGCAGCCCAUGCUCUCGGCUGGCAUCGUCAUCCCAGGGUUUCUUCUUAUCGGCCUGGUCUUCAUUGGCAUUGGUGUCACCCUCUUUGUCACCUCGCAAAACAUCCAAAUGCUUGAGAUGGAUUACACUGGAGUAGAUAAAACCUCACCCUGCUACAAGUGCACUGAAACCACACAUAAGAACUGCAUGUGCACUCUGGACUUCUCGGUCAGCAGACUGGUUGAGGGUCCCGUGUUCUUCUAUUAUGGACUGUCCAACUACUUCCAGAACUACCGCAAAUAUGGAGUAUCUAAAGACUUCUACCAGCUGUCAGGUGAUCUCACCUACUUUACGACUCCUAGUGAGGACUGCUUACCUUACCGGUAUGAUUCUAGUUCCAAACCGAUUGUUCCCUGUGGGUCCGUAGCAAACAGCAUGUUCAACGAUAGCUUCACGCUCUACCAGAUUGUCAAUGGAACAAAUAAGUUGGUCCCCUUCGAUGGUAAAGGGAUCGCCUGGUGGACUGACUACAACAUCAAGUACCGAAACCCAAAUGUUACUCCUCUGAAGAAUGCCUUCAACAAUACGGUUAAGCCACCCUAUUGGUCAAAACCAGCCUAUGAACUGGACACCUCAGACGCCUCCAACAAUGGCUUCAUCAACCAGGACUUCCUGGUUUGGAUGAGAAGGGCGGCCCUGCCAGAUUUCCGGAAACUAUAUCGAAGAAUCACUGAGGGGGAUUAUGCCCAUGGCCUGCCUGCUGGAAACUACUCCCUAAACAUCACCUACAAUUACCCAGUUAUUCCCUUCGAUGGCAGGAAGAAGGUGGUCAUCAGUAACGUAUCCUGGAUGGGCGGCAAGAACCAGUUCCUGGGCAUCGCCUACCUGGUGGUUGGCUCACUGUGUGUCUUCAUGUCCAUGGUGAUGCUCAUCGUCUACGCUAAGUUCAAGUUCCCAGAGGAAGACUAGACUAGUGAUGGGAGCCCUGGACUGUGAUGGAAGGUCAAUGUUGUGGAAGGGUUUAAUGGGGCCACAGAGAUGGAAGCUGCUAAUUGACUUGAGCAAUUCAUCUUAAAAUGAGCUGCCCCCCACCCCCGAACAAAACACUUUUCUCCAGCCUUCCUGCAUGGGUGACUGUGGGGCUCGACUUCACUCCAGAGGAGUUCAUUGCAUUAUUUCAAUGUGAAUCGGAUCAUUGGAGAAGCAUGGCUUUCUGUAUCACAGAGAAGCUGUUCCCAUAUCUUUCUGCUGUUAUGGCUGGCUUUGUUGUCUACCAUUUCUUUAAGGCAUACAAGAGGAGGCAGUUCACAUCUUUCCCGGUAAGUGUUUCAUCCACAUUGCACAGAAUUAACCACAGAGUUCUCACACCUUAUUAACUGUAUACUGUCACUUGAUCUAAACCCUGAUGGCAUUCUGAGAACCCAAUACAUUUCAUGAAAUGUAUCCACCACACAUUGUAAUGGAUGUAUCAGCCACUGCACCCAGGACAGUAAACACAGAAGGUGGUUUAUCAUGCCUCAGCUUUGCUUUCAGAAGAGUCAUGAGAUGCUCAGUGUGGCUGCCAUACUGUCAGAGCAGCUGAAACAUGGCUUGGCCAUGAAGCAGGCUCUGGUGGAGGGGCUUAAGGACGUGGAGAUCAGACUGCUGGCCCUGGAGCAGAGGCUGCUGAUGGUGGAGAAGACUGGACAAGGAAGAAGGAAGAAAGCCCUCGGGAGCAAAGGCCGAGAGCUGACCUACGAUGACUCUAAGUGGUGUCAGUCAUCAGGCGAGAGCGAGGUGGAGUCCAACUGUUCUGGAAGGGAGGCCAUGCUGUCAAAACCUCUGCUGUAAAUUUGAUCCUAAAAAUGUCUUGCUGAAUAAAAAUUAUGAUUAUGUGAA
RNA transcript from Osmerus eperlanus (European smelt), 2391 nucleotides. It is a transcript of the gene named transmembrane protein 30B, with no coding region annotated. The record is from RefSeq and is a predicted model, not a curated record. NCBI's taxonomy places the organism in Eukaryota, Metazoa, Chordata, Actinopteri, Osmeriformes, Osmeridae. The transcript has 10 exons.